This 379-nucleotide long non-coding RNA is filed under the name Malus domestica (apple). RNAcentral's name for it is "long non-coding RNA (MDOM_LNC021134)". The record is from RNAcentral. Lineage: Eukaryota; Viridiplantae; Streptophyta; Magnoliopsida; Rosales; Rosaceae.
AUUUCAUUAGGGUUUCUAAGUGCCUAUAUAUACCACCCUUACACCCUAGCCGCAUACAUCUUCCCCUCUCCACAAAAUCAGAAAAUCAUCUCUCCUUUUCCCCACCUUGCCGCAGCCACCAUCACCCAAAAUCCUUCCUUGCCGCAGCCAUUCAUCCAUUCCAGCAGCCAUUCAUCCAUUCCAGCAACUACCACCCUUUGCCGCACCACCAUACACCUCCCUUACCCUUUGCCGAACCACCAUAUCAUCCCAAAUCCAUCCCUAAACCGAAAUCACAUCCAACAGCCCCUAAACCCUCACUGCCGCAGCAAGGAGAAGAAGGAAGAGGAGCUUUCUGUGCAGAUUUCAAAGUGGACUUCUUUGGCAUUUUAGGUGUAAU